UAUUUAUGAAACAUGGUCAUCAAUUUUCACUAAGUUUUCAAUCAAAUUUAUGCAAUGACGGACUGUCAUCACAACCACAAUUUUUUGCUCCUUUUACACUCAAAUUUUCAUUUAAGUCCACAAUUUUCACACUUAGCUAUUUUUUUUUCUCAUUCUUUGUUCUUUCUUUUUCAUUUUGUCUUAUUUUUCACUUAUUUUGAUUCGAUUCUUCAACUAAAUUUAUGCAAUGACGAAAUGUCAUCACAACCCCAAACUUGAAUUGUUGCUUGUCCUC
This 274-nucleotide long non-coding RNA is filed under the name Lathyrus oleraceus (garden pea). RNAcentral describes it as "Pisum sativum (pea) long non-coding RNA (PSAT_LNC031915)". The record is from RNAcentral. Lineage: Eukaryota; Viridiplantae; Streptophyta; Magnoliopsida; Fabales; Fabaceae.